GACGAACGCUGGCGGCGUGCUUAACACAUGCAAGUCGAACGGUGAAGCGCCUUCCUUUUUGGUGGGUGUGGAUGAGUGGCGAACGGGUGAGUAACACGUGAGUAACCUGCCCCCUUCUUCUGGAUAACCGCAUGAAAGUGUGGCUAAUACGGGAUAUUCUGGGUCUGUCGCAUGAUGGGUCUGGGAAAGAUAUUGUUUCGGUGGGGGAUGGGCUCGCGGCCUAUCAGCUUGUUGGUGGGGUGAUGGCCUACCAAGGCGGUGACGGGUAGCCGGCCUGAGAGGGUGGACGGUCACACUGGGACUGAGACACGGCCCAGACUCCUACGGGAGGCAGCAGUGGGGAAUAUUGAGCAAUGGGCGCAAGCCUGAUGCAGCGACGCCGCGUGAGGGAUGGAGGCCUUCGGGUUGUGAACCUCUUUCGCCAGUGAAGCAGGCCUGCCUCGUAUGUGGGUGGGUUGACGGUAGCUGGAUAAGAAGCGCCGGCUAACUACGUG
Molecule: ribosomal RNA, 494 nt
Filed under: uncultured bacterium
Lineage: Bacteria
Description: partial 16S ribosomal RNA
Rfam family: Bacterial small subunit ribosomal RNA
Source: RNAcentral